AACGAACGCUGGCGGCGCGCCUAAUACAUGCAAGUCGAGCGAGAAGGUGUAGCAAUACACUUGUAAAGCGGCAAACGGGUGAGGAAUGCAUGGGUAACCUACCCUCGAGUGGGGAAUAACUAGCCGAAAGGUUAGCUAAUACCGCAUACGUUUCCGGAACUUCGGUUUCGGAAAGAAAGCAAUACCGUGGGUAUUGCGCUCCUGGAUGGGCUCAUGUCCUAUCAGCUUGUUGGUGAGGUAACGGCUCACCAAGGCUUCGACGGGUAGCUGGUCUGAGAGGACGAUCAGCCACACUGGCACUGCGACACGGGCCAGACUCCUACGGAGGCAGCAGUAAGGAAUAUUGCGCAAUGGACGACAGUCUGACGCAGCGACGCCGCGUGGGGGAUGAAGGUCUUCGGAUUGUAAACCCCUUUCGGGAGGGAAGAUGGAGUGGGUAACCACUUGGACGGUACCUCCAGAAGCAGCCACGGCUAACUUCGUGCCAGCAGCCGCGGUAAU
This 501-nucleotide ribosomal RNA is filed under the name uncultured bacterium. RNAcentral describes it as "bacterial SSU rRNA". It matches the Rfam family "Bacterial small subunit ribosomal RNA", at positions 29 to 524 of the family's 1533-position model. The record is from RNAcentral.